This is a non-coding RNA of Heterocephalus glaber (naked mole-rat), 634 nucleotides long. The record is from RefSeq and is a predicted model, not a curated record. Lineage: Eukaryota; Metazoa; Chordata; Mammalia; Rodentia; Bathyergidae.
CCUAUGCAGGCUCAUCUGGUCAUGGGAAUUCAGGGUGGCAUCAAACAAGGAAGCACUCUCCAGCCCUCAGCCCUCCUCUCAGCAGGCCGUCAGAGUGCUUGACUGCCGCUGCCUCCUGUAGCCAGCCAGCUUAUGCUUGCACUUUGUUCUUGGGCAUAGAUGCGAAAGAACAAGUCUUUCUUCUUACCCUUUUUUAAAGAACUUGAUAUUCUUCAGUGCCUCAUUUGGCACCUGCAUUUCACUUUUAAAUGUGCACCUCGGACACAUCAUAAUGGCAAGGAAGAACCAUCACAAUAGCCCCCACUACACUCCACACAUCUGCUCUUUGUGUCCCGUCCUGCAGCUGUAGAUGUUCUGUGACACUGAGAAAAGGGGAAGAAAGCAAGGUUCCGAUGUUUCUCAUCAACUUGCUAAAGAAAUGUUAGCCAUCAAGCCUCCAAAACUUGGUUUGGGCUCAAGAAAAUCAAGAGAAAAUAUUUAAGAGCUGGCAGUUAUUUUUACCCAGCAUCAUGCCACACUGGCAGAGCUCCCAGGCGAGAAGAGCCAGCACCCCUAAAUUCUGAAGUGAGUGGAGACAAAGAGAGUGCAUUGAAGUGGGCUCACCCUCCUUUGGCGUCUCACCCAGGACCCUCAC